RNAcentral lists this ribosomal RNA (275 nucleotides) under uncultured bacterium. RNAcentral's name for it is "partial 16S ribosomal RNA". It matches the Rfam family "Bacterial small subunit ribosomal RNA", at positions 399 to 691 of the family's 1533-position model. The record is from RNAcentral.
GCGUGGGUGAAGAAGGCCCUAGGGUUGUAAAGCCCUUUCGCCGGUGAAGAUAAUGACGGUAACCGGUAAAGAAGCCCCGGCUAACUUCGUGCCAGCAGCCGCGGUAAUACGAAGGGGGCUAGCGUUGUUCGGAAUCACUGGGCGUAAAGCGCACGUAGGCGGAUUGGUCAGUCAGGGGUGAAAGCCCGGAGCUCAACUCCGGAAUUGCCUUUGAUACUGCCAGUCUGGAGACCGGGAGAGGAGAGUGGAAUUCCCAGUGUAGAGGUGAAAUUCGU